RNAcentral lists this small RNA (74 nucleotides) under Bordetella bronchiseptica 99-R-0433. RNAcentral describes it as "putative R1162-like plasmid antisense RNA". The record is from RNAcentral. Lineage: Bacteria; Pseudomonadati; Pseudomonadota; Betaproteobacteria; Burkholderiales; Alcaligenaceae.
CGCCGCGCGCCUAGGGGGAUACCCUAGGCGGCGGCCGACCCGUAUCCGCGUGCGCCCAGCGCUGGCAAGGCUUU